UAAUACGAAGGACCCGAGCGUUAUCCGGAUUUAUUGGGUUUAAAGGGUGCGUAGGCGUCCCGGUAAGUUAUGGCUGAAAUCUCCCCGCUCAACGGGGAAACUGGCCGUAAAACUGUCGGGAUUGAGUACACUUGAGGCGGGCGGAAUGUGUCAUGUAGCGGUGAAAUGCUUAGAUAUGACACAGAACACCAAUUGCGUAGGCAGCUCGCUAAAUUGUAACUGACGCUGAGGCACGAAAGCGUGGGGAUCAAACAGGAUUAGAUACCCUGGUAGUCCACGCCCUAAACGAUGAUUACUCGAUGUGUGCGAUACACUGUACGCGUCUGAGCGAAAGCAUUAAGUAAUCCACCUGGGGAGUACGACCGCAAGAUUG
RNAcentral lists this ribosomal RNA (373 nucleotides) under uncultured bacterium. RNAcentral's name for it is "bacterial SSU rRNA". It matches the Rfam family "Bacterial small subunit ribosomal RNA", at positions 521 to 896 of the family's 1533-position model. The record is from RNAcentral.